GCGUUUUUUAAUUUGAGGUAUUUACAUCACUCACACAUACCAAUUUGUUUUCCAGUUUGUAUAAAUAUCACCUGUACCUGUUUGAGUUUUUUGUUUGUUUGUUUGUUUGUUUGUUUGUUUGUUUAAAGAUCACCUGUACCUGUUUGAGUUUUUGUUGUUUGUUUGUUUGUUUAAAGAUCACCUGUACCUGUUUGAGUUUUUGUUGUUUGUUUGUUUGUUUAAAGAUCACCUGUACCUGUUUGAGUUUUUUUUUGUUGUUUGUUUGUUUGUUUAAAGAUCACCUGUACCUGUUUGAGUUUUUGUUGUUUGUUUGUUUGUUUAAAGAUCACCUGUACCUGUUUGAGUUUUGUUGUUUGUUUGUUUGUUUAAAGAUCACCUGUACCUGUUUGAGUUUUUGUUGUUUGUUUGUUUGUUUAAAGAUCACCUGUACCUGUUUGAGUGUUUGUUUGUUUUUUUGUUUGUUUGUUUGUUUGUUUGCUUAUCACUUGUACCUGUUUGAGUUUUUUGUUUGUUUGUUUGUUUUGUUUGUUUGUUGUUUGUUAAAG
This is a long non-coding RNA of Ictalurus punctatus (channel catfish), 545 nucleotides long. The record is from Ensembl. Lineage: Eukaryota; Metazoa; Chordata; Actinopteri; Siluriformes; Ictaluridae.